This 372-nucleotide ribosomal RNA is filed under the name uncultured organism. Its description in RNAcentral is "partial 16S ribosomal RNA". It matches the Rfam family "Bacterial small subunit ribosomal RNA", at positions 527 to 896 of the family's 1533-position model. The record is from RNAcentral.
GAACCGUACGAACGUUAUUCGGAAUCACUGGGCUUAAAGGGUGCGUAGGCGGCUUGGCAAGUUGGGUGUGAAAUCCCUCGGCUCAACCGAGGAACUGCGCUCAAAACUGCCAGGCUUGAGGGAGACAGAGGUGAGCGGAACUAAUGGUGGAGCGGUGAAAUGCGUUGAUAUCAUUAGGAACACCGGUGGCGAAGGCGGCUCACUGGGUCUCUUCUGACGCUGAGGCACGAAAGCUAGGGGUAGCGAACGGGAUUAGAUACCCCGGUAGUCCUAGCUGUAAACGAUGAGCACUGGAUCGAGGGCCCCUUCCACAGGCUCUCGGUCGUAGCGAAAGUGUUAAGUGCUCCGCCUGGGAGUAUGGUCGCAAGGCUG